This 1423-nucleotide ribosomal RNA is filed under the name Kramerella oti. RNAcentral's name for it is "eukaryotic LSU rRNA". It matches the Rfam family "Eukaryotic large subunit ribosomal RNA", at positions 73 to 1269 of the family's 3401-position model. Lineage: Eukaryota; Metazoa; Arthropoda; Arachnida; Sarcoptiformes; Kramerellidae. The record is from RNAcentral.
GAUUCUCUUAGUAACGGCGAGUGAAAAGAGAAGAGUCCAGCGCCAAGUCUUGACGCCUCGAUGUGUUCAAGAGAUGCGGCGUUAAUGUGUUGGCGCAUCGUUCACCGUUCCACGUUUCAAGUUCCAUUGACAGGGACUUCCAGAGCGGGUGCUAGGCCCAUAGAGACGAGGAGCUGGUGUUCGCCGGCCAAUGCAUUCUAGAGUCAGGUUGCUUGAAAGUGCAGCUUAAAGUCGGUGGUAAACUCCAUCUAAGACUAAAUAUGACAGCGAGACCGAUAGCAAACAAGUACCGUGAGGGAAAGUUGCAAAGCACUUUGAAGAGAGAGUUCAACAGUACGUGAAACCACUGGGAGGCAAACAGAUGGAACCACGAAGUUUGCGCCCCGGGCGAUUCAAUCAUCGCCACCGGUUGGCAGCGYUGGUCACGGGUCUCUUUGGAGAUUGGACCAACGCGGUUUGAAACUGGUGGCGGUGGUGCAUUUCGUUUCGGGGAUGCUAAGCCACGUUCGACCAGAYAGUUGGGACGGCUGUAGGAUGGGGUUCGAGAAAGGUGCCCGUCACGUGCUUGCAUGUGACGGCGUUAUAGUCUCGGGCCGGCACCGUCGCCAAACAUACUGGUUGAUGCAAUUUCUCCGUUUGGAGUCAAACUGYGUCUGCCUCUGUUGGCUAGCAGGUGUUGAGGGGUGUUCUUUACGUAUCUUACGGUGCGAAAAGGCAUUCCGAAAAUGYCUGUUAGUGGAUGGUUGCGUGACGCAGUGGAACUGUGGCGCSAGUAGGUCGGUCUCCAUCUGACCCGUCUUGAAACACGGACCAAGGAGCCUAACAUGUACGCGAGUCGCUCGGUCUUGUAUAGGCCCGGGAGGCGCAAUGAAAGUGAAACUACGAGGCCGCAUCAGUGGUCGCAGUAGUGGCUCGCCCACUUCGUUUAUUGGCGAUCUGGCGAAGCUGGAGCGUAUAUGCUGGUACCCGAAAGAUGGUGAACUAUGCCUGGGCAAGACGAAGCCAGAGGAAACUCUGGUGGAGGUCUGUAGCGAUUCUGACGUGCAAAUCGAUCGUCAGACCUGGGUAUAGGGGCGAAAGACUAAUCGAACCAUCUAGUAGCUGGUUCCCUCCGAAGUUUCCCUCAGGAUAGCAGGCGCUUAUGGAACUCAGUCUCAUCCGGUAAAGCGAAUGAUUAGAGGUCUUGGGAUUGAAACGAUCUCAACCUAUUCUCAAACUUUAAAUGGGUGAGAUGGUUGACUUUCUUGAUUGAAGCCAACCAUUUGGAUGUGAGUGCCUAGUGGGCCAUUUUUGGUAAGCAGAACUGGCGCUGUGGGAUGAACCAAACGUCGAGAUAAGGUAUCAAACGCGUACGCUCAUCAGACCCCAUGAAAGGUGUUGGUUGCUAUAGACAGCAGGACGGUGGCCAUGGAAGUCGGAAUCC